CCUACGAGAGGCAGCAGUGGGGAAUAUUGGGCAAUGGGCGCAAGCCUGACCCAGCAACGCCGCGUGAAGGAAGAAGGCUUUCGGGUUGGAAACUUCUUUUCUGAGGGACGAAGAAAGUGACGGUACCUCAGGAAUAAGCCACGGCUAACUACGUGCCAGCAGCCGCGGUAAGACGUAGGUGGCAAGCGUUAUCCGGAUUUAUUUGGUGUAAAGGGCGUGUAGGCGGGAAAGCAAGUCAGAUGUGAAAACUCAGGGCUCAACCCUGAGCCUGCAUUUGAAACUGUUUUGUUGGAGUGCUGGAGAGGCAAUCGGAAUUCCGUGUGUAGCGGUGAAAUGCGUAGAUAUACGGAGGAACACCAGUGGCGAAGGCGGAUUGCUGGACAGUAACUGACGCUGAGGCGCGAAAGCGUGGGGAGCAAACAGGAUUAGAUACCCCGGUAGUC
Molecule: ribosomal RNA, 443 nt
Filed under: uncultured bacterium
Lineage: Bacteria
Description: partial 16S ribosomal RNA
Rfam family: Bacterial small subunit ribosomal RNA
Source: RNAcentral